UACGGAGGAUCCAAGCGUUAUCCGGAUUCACUGGGUUUAAAGGGUGCGUAGGAGGGCAGGUAAGUCAGUGGUGAAAUCCCCGAGCUUAACUUGGGAACUGCCGUUGAUACUAUCUGUCUUGAAUAUUGUGGAGGUGAGCGGAAUAUGUCAUGUAGCGGUGAAAUGCUUAGAUAUGACAUAGAACACCAAUUGCGAAGGCAGCUCGCUACACAUAUAUUGACUCUGAGGCACGAAAGCGUGGGGAUCAAACAGG
Molecule: ribosomal RNA, 253 nt
Filed under: uncultured bacterium
Lineage: Bacteria
Description: partial 16S ribosomal RNA
Rfam family: Bacterial small subunit ribosomal RNA
Source: RNAcentral